UGUUUGAUGUUCUAACGUGGACCCGUGAUCCGGGUUGCGGACAGUGUCUGGUGGGUAGUUUGACUGGGGCGGUCUCCUCCUAAAGAGUAACGGAGGAGCACGAAGGUUGGCUAAUCCUGGUCGGACAUCAGGAGGUUAGUGCAAUGGCAUAAGCCAGCUUGACUGCGAGCGUGACGGCGCGAGCAGGUGCGAAAGCAGGUCAUAGUGAUCCGGUGGUUCUGAAUGGAAGGGCCAUCGCUCAACGGAUAAAAGGUACUCCGGGGAUAACAGGCUGAUACCGCCCAAGAGUUCAUAUCGACGGCGGUGUUUGGCACCUCGAUGUCGGCUCAUCACAUCCUGGGGCUGAAGUAGGUCCCAAGGGUAUGGCUGUUCGCCAUUUAAAGUGGUACGCGAGCUGGGUUUAGAACGUCGUGAGACAGUUCGGUCCCUAUCUGCCGUGGGCGCUGGAGAACUGAGGGGGGCUGCUCCUAGUACGAGAGGACCGGAGUGGACGCAUCACUGGUGUUCGGGUUGUCAUGCCAAUGGCACUGCCCGGUAGCUAAAUGCGGAAGAGAUAAGUGCUGAAAGCAUCUAAGCACGAAACUUGCCCCGAGAUGAGUUCUCCCUGAGACUUUAGGUCUCCUGAAGGAACGUUGAAGACGACGACGUUGAUAGGCCGGGUGUGUAAGCGCAGCGAUGCGUUGAGCUAACCGGUACUAAUGAACCGUGAGGCUUAACCUUACAACGCCG
RNAcentral lists this ribosomal RNA (729 nucleotides) under Salmonella enterica. RNAcentral describes it as "partial 23S ribosomal RNA". It matches the Rfam family "Bacterial large subunit ribosomal RNA", at positions 2211 to 2925 of the family's 2925-position model. The record is from RNAcentral. Lineage: Bacteria; Pseudomonadati; Pseudomonadota; Gammaproteobacteria; Enterobacterales; Enterobacteriaceae. RNAcentral also lists the same sequence under 2 other names.